AACAAGGCGUACCUGCGGACCUGCGGAGGGAUCAUUACCGAGUUUACAACUCCCAAACCCAUGUGAACAUACCUAUCGUUGCUUCGGCGGGAUCGCCCCGGGCGCCUCGUGUGCCCCGGAUCCGGCGCCCGCCUAGGAACCUUAACUCUUGUUUUAUUUUGGAAUCUUCUGAGUAGUUUUUACAAAUAAAUAAAAACUUUCAACAAUGGAUCU
RNAcentral lists this unclassified non-coding RNA (213 nucleotides) under soil metagenome. Its description in RNAcentral is "partial contains 5.8S ribosomal RNA, internal transcribed spacer 2, and large subunit ribosomal RNA". The record is from RNAcentral.